RNAcentral lists this ribosomal RNA (463 nucleotides) under uncultured bacterium. RNAcentral's name for it is "partial 16S ribosomal RNA". It matches the Rfam family "Bacterial small subunit ribosomal RNA", at positions 28 to 506 of the family's 1533-position model. The record is from RNAcentral.
GACGAACGCUGGCGGCGUGCUUAACACAUGCAAGUCGAACGGAAAGGCCCUGCUUGCAGGGUCCUCGAGUGGCGAACGGGUGAGUAACACGUGGGUGAUCUGCCCUGCACUUCGGGAUAAGCCUGGGAAACUGGGUCUAAUACCGGAUAGGAGCCAUUUUUAGUGUGAUGGUUGGAAAGUUUUUUCGGUGUAGGAUGAGCUCGCGGCCUAUCAGCUUGUUGGUGGGGUAAUGGCCUACCAAGGCGGCGACGGGUAGCCGGCCUGAGAGGGUGGACGGCCACAUUGGGACUGAGAUACGGCCCAGACUCCUACGGGAGGCAGCAGUGGGGAAUAUUGCACAAUGGGCGCAAGCCUGAUGCAGCGACGCCGCGUGGGGGAUGACGGCCUUCGGGUGGUAAACUCCUUUCGCUAGGGACGAAGCUUUUGUGACGGUACCUAGAUAAGAAGCACCGGCUAACUACGU